GGAGCAGUUGGUAGCUUAGUGGUAGAGUGCCUGCUUUGUGCGUCCUGGGUUCAAAUCCCAGCUGCUCCC
Molecule: non-coding RNA, 69 nt
Organism: Dallia pectoralis (Alaska blackfish)
Lineage: Eukaryota; Metazoa; Chordata; Actinopteri; Esociformes; Umbridae
Source: the annotation of a GenBank genome assembly